CUGGCGAGACAAAGAACACUUCAUCUGAAAGAGUGCCUUCCCCCUGCUUUAAACCAUCGUGGGAAGCAGGUGGAUGGGUGAUGAGUUUCAUCAGCUGGUGGUGAAG
RNAcentral lists this long non-coding RNA (106 nucleotides) under Cricetulus griseus (Chinese hamster). RNAcentral's name for it is "lncRNA (ENSCGRG00000025753.1)". The record is from RNAcentral. Lineage: Eukaryota; Metazoa; Chordata; Mammalia; Rodentia; Cricetidae.